RNAcentral lists this ribosomal RNA (468 nucleotides) under uncultured bacterium. Its description in RNAcentral is "partial 16S ribosomal RNA". It matches the Rfam family "Bacterial small subunit ribosomal RNA", at positions 28 to 507 of the family's 1533-position model. The record is from RNAcentral.
GACGAACGCUGGCGGCGUGCUUAACACAUGCAAGUCGAACGGAAAGGCCCUGCUUUUGUGGGGUGCUCGAGUGGCGAACGGGUGAGUAACACGUGAGUAACCUGCCCUUGACUUUGGGAUAACUUCAGGAAACUGGGGCUAAUACCGGAUAGGAGCUCCUGCUGCAUGGUGGGGGUUGGAAAGUUUCGGCGGUUGGGGAUGGACUCGCGGCUUAUCAGCUUGUUGGUGGGGUAGUGGCUUACCAAGGCUUUGACGGGUAGCCGGCCUGAGAGGGUGACCGGCGACGAGGGGCCUGAGGUAGGGCGAAGAGGGGAACGGGGGGCAGCAGGGGGGAGGAGGGGACAGUGGGCGGGAGGGUGAUACAGCGACGCCGCGUGCGGAAAGGCGGCGUAGGGGGUAGAAACCGCUGUAGCCUGGGACCAAGCGGGGGUGACGGUAAUGGGAAAAGAAGCACCGGCUAACUACGUG